Molecule: ribosomal RNA, 254 nt
Filed under: uncultured bacterium
Lineage: Bacteria
Description: partial 16S ribosomal RNA
Rfam family: Bacterial small subunit ribosomal RNA
Source: RNAcentral
UACGUAGGGGCCUAGCGUUGUCCGGAUUUAUUGGGCGUAAAGAGCUCGUAGGUGGUUCGGUAAGUCGGGUGUUAAACCCCCAGGCUCAACCUGGGGACGCCACUCGAUACUGCUGUGACUAGAGUCCGGUAGGGGAGCGUGGAAUUCCUGGUGUAGCGGUGAAAUGCGCAGAUAUCGGGAGGAACACCGGUGGCGAAGGCGGUUCUCUGGGCCUUACCUGACGCUGAGGAGCGAAAGCGUGGGGAGCGAACAGG